GGCGGCGUGGAUAAGACAUGCAAGUCGAACGGGAUUAUUUUUGUAGCAAUACAGAGGUAAUUCAGUGGCGAACGGGUGCGUAACACGUGGGCAAUCUGCCGAAAAGUGGGGGAUAGCUCGCCGAAAGGCGAAUUAAUACCGCAUGUGGUGAGGGACGACAUCUUCCUGAAUCCAAAGCCGGGGUAACCUGGCGCUUUUUGAGGAGCCCGCGGCCUAUCAGCUAGUUGGUGAGGUAACGGCCCACCAAGGCUUUGACGGGUAGCUGGUCUGAGAGGACGACCAGUCACACUGGAACUGAGACACGGUCCAGACACCUACGGGUGGCAGCAGUCGAGAAUUUUUCUCAAUGGGGGCAACCCUGAAGGAGCGACGCCGCGUGGAGGAUGAAGGCUUUCGGGUUGUAAACUCCUGUCAUUUGGGAACAAGUUGUACGUGUUAACUGCGCGUGCAUUGAUAGUACCAGAAGAAGAAGGGACGGCUAACUCUGUGCCAGCAGCCGCGGUAAUACAGAAGUCC
This 516-nucleotide ribosomal RNA is filed under the name uncultured Verrucomicrobiota bacterium. RNAcentral describes it as "bacterial SSU rRNA". It matches the Rfam family "Bacterial small subunit ribosomal RNA", at positions 38 to 534 of the family's 1533-position model. The record is from RNAcentral. Lineage: Bacteria; Pseudomonadati; Verrucomicrobiota.